This 27-nucleotide non-coding RNA is filed under the name Mus musculus (house mouse). Lineage: Eukaryota; Metazoa; Chordata; Mammalia; Rodentia; Muridae. The record is from RNAcentral.
UGGAAAUAAUUGAGACGCAGCUACAGA